CUCGGCGGCUAGAACGGAUCAUCAAGGACACGCUGGAAGAUCUCGGGGAGGACAAGGAGCGGCUGGAGAAACUCCUCACAGGGAGACGGGUUCUGCUGGCCGAGGAACUCAAAAAAAUUCGAAAAAUCCAAGAUAGAUUAGAAGAAUUCAUUCAAGCAUUGAACAAGGAGAAAUAGUGCAUAAUCUUUGUAGGAUAACUAAAUCCCCCAACCUGGUUGUAGUGAAGACAGGAAGUUUGCAACACGUGCAAUGAAGGGGACUGACAAGUCAUAAACAAACCAUUGUCUAUGGACGACUUGGACAGUGAUGAAACUAUGGUGUGCCAUGUUGGGUUCUGACUGACUGGCAGAUCAAGUUUCUCUAUAGCAAGGCCAUGAGAUGUCUACCCUGGGAAAUGGCUGUGCUUAAGUGCUGUAUAUCAUGUAGGGUGUGUGUGGAAGAGUGAUGUAGCUAGGUCUGCAGAAUGAAGAAGCCAUUCGAUUUACAAUGUGACUAUUAUUUAUGACUGUUUUCUCAUCGUGUGCAUCAUUCCUGUUUAUCAGGGACAUUCAUACUGGUGUCCAUUCCUUGUCCGGAUCAAUUCCUGCAACAUCAGCCAUGAUGUAUUGGAUCUAGACGAUGCCAGAUUAGUGUUGUAGCUUCAGGACAUUAGCUGUGAAAAUUCAGGAAAUGCAGUUCUAUAAACAUUUAUGCUUGUAUAGUGUUUUUGAUUUACGAAGGUAGCUUCAUAAAUUAGGACCGAGGGUUUGAUAAUGGCUGGAUGGAGAGUGUAUUUGAUAAGUAAUAAGUCAUCCCUUAAAAGGGGCGAAGGGGUAGCUGAGUGGUUAAAGCGUUUGCUCGUUAAGCCGAAUAUCCGGGUUCGAUUCCCCACAUGGGUACAAUGUGUGAAGCCCAUUUCUGGUGCCCCCCGCCCUGAUAUUGCUGGACUAUUGCUGAAAGCAGCGUAAAACUAAACUCAAUCAGUCACCCCUUAAAUGGUUGAUAAUAGUAUCAGUGCUUCAGACUGUUGAAAAGAAAAGAAAUUGUCUACAGCAAAAGAGUCAUUGUUGCAUGACAGUAUAAAAAUAAUACCUUAGCUCAGAAAAAAGAGGUAGGGUUGCAAAAUGGAGGUUAGUUUCCAUACAAACUUAAGUCCACCUGUAGAAUAUCAAGUGCUCAGUCUCUUCGGGGUCCCUUCAUGUCCAAAGUACUGAUCUGUCAACAUGAAUUGACUACAUAAUUAUCAUGCUUGAUGUUGAUGUUGGAAGCAAAGUGUUUCGAAUGAAAUUUUGCUAAGUAUGCUUCACAUUAAUGAAAUCUUAACAUUUUAAAGAACAUGUUGUUUCUAUGAUAUUUUUGCAGAAGUGAGUGAGCAUCGUAAUCAUUCCCUCUGUCGCCUGUCCAUCAUGCUUACUCAAUGACCCCCUGAAAAUCCACUGAUGUAAUAAAAACAUGACAUAUUAUAUCGACAGCCUUA
This is a long non-coding RNA of Haliotis rubra (blacklip abalone), 1456 nucleotides long. RefSeq lists it as uncharacterized. NCBI's taxonomy places the organism in Eukaryota, Metazoa, Mollusca, Gastropoda, Lepetellida, Haliotidae. The transcript has 2 exons. The record is from RefSeq and is a predicted model, not a curated record.